This 1344-nucleotide ribosomal RNA is filed under the name Hypomyces armeniacus. Its description in RNAcentral is "eukaryotic LSU rRNA". It matches the Rfam family "Eukaryotic large subunit ribosomal RNA", at positions 78 to 1452 of the family's 3401-position model. Lineage: Eukaryota; Fungi; Ascomycota; Sordariomycetes; Hypocreales; Hypocreaceae. The record is from RNAcentral.
CCCCAGUAACGGCGAGUGAAGCGGCAACAGCUCAAAUUUGAAAUCUGGCCCCUCGGGCCCGAGUUGUAAUUUGUAGAGGAUGCUUUUGGCAAGGUGCCGCCCGAGUUCCCUGGAACGGGACGCCACAGAGGGUGAGAGCCCCGUCUGGCUGGCCGCCGAGCCUCUGUAAAGCUCCUUCGACGAGUCGAGUAGUUUGGGAAUGCUGCUCAAAAUGGGAGGUAUAUGUCUUCUAAAGCUAAAUAUUGGCCAGAGACCGAUAGCGCACAAGUAGAGUGAUCGAAAGAUGAAAAGCACUUUGAAAAGAGGGUUAAACAGUACGUGAAAUUGUUGAAAGGGAAGCGCUCAUGACCAGACUUGGGCUUGGCGGAUCAUCCGGCGUUCUCGCCGGUGCACUUCGCCUCGCCCAGGCCAGCAUCAGUUCGCGCCGGGGGACAAAAGCUUCGGGAAUGUGGCUCCUCCGGGAGUGUUAUAGCCCGUUGCAUAAUACCCUGGUGCGGACUGAGGUCCGCGCAUCUGCAAGGAUGCUGGCGUAAUGGUCAUCAGCGACCCGUCUUGAAACACGGACCAAGGAGUCGUCUUCGUAUGCGAGUGUUCGGGUGUUAAACCCCUACGCGUAAUGAAAGUGAACGCAGGUGAGAGCUUCGGCGCAUCAUCGACCGAUCCUGAUGUUCUCGGAUGGAUUUGAGUAAGAGCAUACGGGGCCGGACCCGAAAGAAGGUGAACUAUGCCUGUAUAGGGUGAAGCCAGAGGAAACUCUGGUGGAGGCUCGCAGCGGUUCUGACGUGCAAAUCGAUCGUCAAAUAUGGGCAUGGGGGCGAAAGACUAAUCGAACCUUCUAGUAGCUGGUUUCCGCCGAAGUUUCCCUCAGGAUAGCAGUGUUGAACUCAGUUUUAUGAGGUAAAGCGAAUGAUUAGGGACCCGGGGGCGCUAUUUAGCCUUCAUCCAUUCUCAAACUUUAAAUAUGUAAGAAGCCCUUGUUACUUAAUUGAACGUGGGCAUUCGAAUGUAUCAACACUAGUGGGCCAUUUUUGGUAAGCAGAACUGGCGAUGCGGGAUGAACCGAACGCGAGGUUAAGGUGCCAGAGUAGACGCUCAUCAGACACCACAAAAGGUGUUAGUACAUCUUGACAGCAGGACGGUGGCCAUGGAAGUCGGAAUCCGCUAAGGACUGUGUAACAACUCACCUGCCGAAUGUACUAGCCCUGAAAAUGGAUGGCGCUCAAGCGUCUCACCCAUACCUCGCCCUCAGGGUAGAAACUAUGCCCUGAGGAGUAGGCGGACGUGGAGGUCAGUGACGAAGCCUAGGGCGUGAGCCGGGGUCGAACGGGCUCUAGUGCAGAUCUU